CUCCGGCUGCUCCCGGCCGAAGGUGGAGACUGGCAGUGGCAGGCACCGCUGGCGAGGGCGUUUGGGGACCCAGGGUGACCACGGCGCAGCCAUGGGGACCGCGCUUGUGUACCAUGAGGACAUGACGGCCACCCGGCUGCUCUGGGACGAGUAAGUGGGACCUGGCCGAGGUGGGGUGCGGGGAGGGACCUCUGGACUGAGCUCUUCGUCUGUCCCAGCCCCGAGUGCGAGAUUGAGCGCCCUGAGCGCCUGACCGCAGCCCUGGACCGCCUGCGGCAGCGCGGCCUGGAACAGAGGUGUCUGCGGUUGUCAGCCCGCGAGGCCUCGAAAGAGGAGCUGGGCCUGGUGCACAGCCCAGAGUAUGUGUCCCUGGUCAGGAAGACCCAGGUCCUAGGCGAGGAGGAGCUGCAAGCGCUGUCCGGACAGUUCGACGCCAUCUACUUCCACCCGAGUACCUUUCACUGUGCACGCCUGGCCGCAGGGGCUGGACUGCAGCUGGUGGAUGCUGUGCUCACGGGAGCUGUGCAAAAUGGGCUUGCCCUGGUGAGGCCCCCCGGGCACCACAGCCAGAGGGCAGCUGCCAACGGGUUCUGCGUGUUCAACAACGUGGCCAUAGCAGCUGCAUAUGCCAAGCAGAAGCACGGGCUACACAGGAUCCUCAUCGUGGACUGGGAUGUGCACCAUGGCCAGGGAAUCCAGUAUCUCUUUGAGGAUGACCCCAGCGUCCUUUACUUCUCCUGGCACCGCUAUGAGCAUGGGCGUUUCUGGCCUUUCCUUCGAGAGUCAGAUACAGACGCAGUGGGGCGGGAACAGGGCCUCGGCUUCACUGUCAACCUGCCCUGGAACCAGGU
This is an RNA transcript of Mandrillus leucophaeus (drill), 851 nucleotides long. It is a transcript of the gene named histone deacetylase 10-like, with no coding region annotated. NCBI's taxonomy places the organism in Eukaryota, Metazoa, Chordata, Mammalia, Primates, Cercopithecidae. The transcript has 6 exons. The record is from RefSeq and is a predicted model, not a curated record.